Molecule: ribosomal RNA, 253 nt
Filed under: uncultured prokaryote
Description: partial 16S ribosomal RNA
Rfam family: Bacterial small subunit ribosomal RNA
Source: RNAcentral
UACGGAGGUGGCGAGCGUUGUUCGGAAUUACUGGGCGUAAAGGGCGCGUAGGCGGCAAGGCAAGUCAGGUGUGAAAGCCCCGGGCUCAACUCGGGAACUGCAUCUGAAACUGCUGUGCUUGAGUCCUGGAGGGGGUAGUGGAAUUCCCAGUGUAGCGGUGAAAUGCGUAGAUAUUGGGAGGAACACCGGUGGCGAAGGCGGCUACCUGGACAGUGACUGACGCUGAGGCGCGAAAGCUAGGGGAGCGAACGGG